UGUAAAAUAAACAUUUCUUUAGGAUCGUAUGACGUAAAUUACGAACUAAUUAAACACGGAUCGCGUUGAUAUCGUUUUAUCGCUUCGAAGAAAUUAAAAUGAGUUACGCAAUCCUCGCAUUAACUUGAAUUGUGCCUUUAAAUCGCAUCAAAAUUCGUAUCUUUUCAACGAAACGCGUAACGCGUUGAACGUUGAGAAGUAUUCUUCCGUGACGGUGGGACGUUCCCCGAGUUAUUUUCAUCAAAGUGUAAAAUAUGUGACUAAUAAUACGAACGAAAAAUCUUUCCAACAAUGAGAAAUAACGACGAUCGAUAUUUAUUCACGCGGUGGCUCGAAUUUAUCUACAAAGAAUGCUUGAAUUUGCGAGGGCGUGCUUUCUAUGUGUAAAAGAGCGCGAGAAACGUGUACUUAGUUUGUCGGAGAUAACAGCAACGAUUAUGAUGCUGCUACCAAUCAUGACGACGACGAUGAUGGCAAUGAUGAUGAUGAUGAUGAUGAUGAUGAUGAUGAUGAUGAUGACGACGAUGAUGAUGAUGAUGAUGAUGAUGAUGAUGAUGGUGAUGGUGACAGCGACGACGGUAAUGACGAUAACGUUACACGGAACGGAAGUAAAUUGAUUUACGAGCGGAUCUUGCCAGGUGAUUUUCUGAUUAACUUACAAACGCAAGUACGAAUGUUACGCAACGAUGUCUUAAAAUAAAAAAGUUUUACUUAUACAAAUUCGAUUCGGAGUUGAAUAAAAUUGUUGACGAACAAGAAUAUAAAACCCAUUGAUUCGUUUCCUCGCUCGAUCUCUCAACGAGAAGUCGUUGAAAACGAAUUAAUCGACUCGAGUUUUUAUCCCAAUAAAAGAGCUCGUCAAAGUUUAUAGAAACGAUCUUUUAAAUUACAAGCGCGAUGUAUCGCGAUAAGGAUAAUGGAAAGCGAAAGAGUCCAAGAUAGAGAUAAGUACUUACAACGUUCGAAGGAUCGAUAUCUCUUAAUUCGAUCUCGUCGAGAUAUUUCAAAUCUGUCAGUCUUUGUACGAUCUUGAUCUCGAUGAGGUUUGAUCCACGCUGCGAUAAAGAGACUUCUUCUUAUACGAUUCUUAUAACGGUUACACAUGUACGAGAUCGUAAAGAAUCGGUGCGCAUAUCGAUACGCUCACAUCUGCGAAACGGCUGUUACUGGAAUGUGUUGGACUGAUUGUCGAAACGAUUUCGUCGGAAUCGAUCGAAUCAAGGACGAAUUUACGGAACGUCAAGAUCGCGCUGACCCGUGAGCGACGACGAUCGGUAGCCGUCAAGUGGAUAAUUACCACGCUACGAUUACCUACGUCUACCUAUCUGGCGUGCCUUGGCAUAGUGAAUGCCUAUCUCGUCCAUAACGCGUCUACUAAUAAAGGAGGACCGAGAGGACGGAGGGGCCGUGUAACCGAACGAUGAUCAUUUAAUUGUCGAAGGUCGUACCGGCGUUCGUCGCGCCGGUACAAGGGAAAAGUAGUUUAAACCGUCGCGUCGUAAGGAUGGAUGGAUCAUCGACGAUCGUACUACGCCCGUGAUAGUCGCGUUCGAAAAGGAGCAGCUCGAGCGCAACUUCUUCAUCCUUUCGAAUUACGAACAUUAAUGAGUUUACUCCGAUGAGUCAUAUUAACGAGAGCAACAAUAACGUCGAUGAAUGAAAAAGUCCUUGCUUUAUA
This is a long non-coding RNA of Vespula pensylvanica (western yellowjacket), 1678 nucleotides long. RefSeq lists it as uncharacterized. NCBI's taxonomy places the organism in Eukaryota, Metazoa, Arthropoda, Insecta, Hymenoptera, Vespidae. The transcript has 2 exons. The record is from RefSeq and is a predicted model, not a curated record.